GUAAAGUGCCAUGCAUGGGUGAUUGACAGCCAUAAAAUAUCUUUGACGUGUUACCACAUGACAAAUGUAACGUAUAUUUUCAGUUUCAAGAUGAAGCCUUUAUCCGUGUAAAUAUAAUACAACUCAUUAUGUUGAGCAUAAGAUUACAAGUGUCACAUACAGUAUAGGUGACUGGGAUUAUACAGUGAAUCUGCAAACACCCCCCGUAUGGACUCAAGCCUCAGAGCAUAUCUCAAGAAUUUUGGCGAAAAUUAGCCUUCAUACGAAGUGGCGGUGGUGUGGUUGAAAAUCUUCUAAGCAGUGCUGACUACGUCUAUCACUACAGGUCUACGGUCCAAGAGAUGAUAGUACAUGAUCAGCGAUUCUAUAAAGAUAAAAUGUCCAAAGGCAUUAGUUUUCUAUAAAAGGCUAUAGUAAGAAUGGAAUGGAAUAUGCGAUUUAGGCAUAAAGCCAAGCACUGGGACCCACAGGGUCAUUCAGCAAUAUGGUAGGCUACAGUUUCUUGUGGAAUUAUUUCAUAUAAAUGUUUUUCAUACCUUGUAACUUUGGAAAAAUGCUAUAUUUAAAUUGCACAAUUCAGAAAAAUUAUACAUCGCUGCUACUAAAGCAGCAACUUUGUUCCUCCCAUUAAUAUUUUUUUGCCAGAGCAAAGACUACAGACAAAAUUUGUUGAAUAUACUUGUUACUUACAAAUAGCUCGCAUUCUUUGACCCCACAAAUCCAAAACAAAUCCCCAACACAAAAUACAUAGCCUGCUGGGUGACAGCACUAUGAAUAUGCCUCAUGGGUCUGGAGGUGCUGUGUGAUGAAGCUCAUUUUGUGUAUAGCCAAUGAGUAACAAGAUCUUCCUGUAGGACUUUCAUCAUUAUAUGAAAGGUAUUUUUCCACUUUGUACCUCAUGGAUAGUAAAGACUUUCUCUGUUUAGCUUUAGAGAAGAAUAUUACAUUUACAGAGCUAGUGUAUUCCUGCUUAUUUUGAGUUUCAAGUCUGGGCAGUGAUAACAAUCAUGUUCACGUCAACCAACCUCCUCCAGGCUAUCCAAAAGGAAAAAGCUGGAACUUCAUGCACUAAUUUACUUCGCCUACAAUAUUUUCCAUGAUGUCCAACACCAGGACUUCACACAGUGAAAUCCCUCACUGUUGGAGGAUGUCUUUCAUCAGGUCAACACCUACACUAAAGUUGCUUUGCUUCAUGAACAUCAGAAGUAAGUGCGCCAGACAGAAAUGGUCAACGUGUACCUCCAUGAUACCAAGGUGUGGAGUAUUUGACACAAAGACUUCGUCUUCUUUCACCUGGAGCUGCACCAGUGGAUAUUUAUGCAACUACAGUUCAGGCCCAUAUCAAGAACAAGCGGCACAGAUGAAGGAUUUAUGGUCGAGGGCAAAGGAGUAGACAGGAUAGUGAU
Long non-coding RNA from Macrobrachium nipponense, 1406 nucleotides. RefSeq lists it as uncharacterized. The record is from RefSeq and is a predicted model, not a curated record. The transcript is spliced from 3 exons. NCBI's taxonomy places the organism in Eukaryota, Metazoa, Arthropoda, Malacostraca, Decapoda, Palaemonidae.